GACAUUCAGGGUGGGUCUCCCAAACGAUGCUCACUUGUUCCCGGGCGGCCCGUCAUGGCGACCCUGGGCCAGCUGGUCGCAAAUAGUCUGUGGUUUGCCUUCGACGCUCUUGAUCACCAGAAGACCGGUGUUGUACCUAAGAGUCAACUAAAGGUUUUAACACAGAAUGUGGGCGUCCUCUUGAAAGUGGACAGGCAUGUGGAAAAUUGUAUUGCUGAAUAUCUUAGUUCAAAACAAUUAAAUUUUGAGCAGUACCUCUACUUUCUUACACACGAGGUUCUAGCUGAAGUAGAUGAUGGAUCAACACCAUAUGGUGAGCUUAAGAAACAUCAUGACACGCUUGAACACACUUUCUGGCUUCUGGGCAGGGCCACACUUUUACAGCGACAUUUCCCAGUUUUCUCGGAGGAUGCUGUGUUCAAACUUUUCCGUAUAUUCUGUCUUCUGGCGGACCGAUCACCAGCGAGAAAAAGUCUUUUACAGGUGACACUAAAUAUUGUAGAGGUGAGAGAGGUUACAAGGCAUCUGAUCACAAAUCUAGGAAGAGAAUGGGACAUUCGUGAUUUUAAUCAAUUAGCAACAUCAAUUUCAUGCUUCACAUUUCCUGUAUUCCUUACAUUUUUAGAAGGUCGCUAUGCACAGGAUACUGAAUCCCCUGCACUAGAGAGAGGAGUCAGUGAAGUUUACAAGAAUUUUGUUGAGCAAGUUCUGAAACUUGGAAAGGUGUACCAGCGUGUUUGGUGGGCACCAUUAUGGGUGAAAAGAGAGAUAGAAUUACGACCUUGGGCAUUGGUUGCGCCUAGCCAUAAACUUAAAGUGCGAUCAGCAGCACUAGCUAAGGUGGUGGGUCGGGCACAGGUAUACCUCACUCCCUCGGCCACAGUUCAUAACAUCCCUGAUGAACCUGGUGCGAGGUUGUGUCGCUUCUCACUCUGCUUAGAAAGCAACAAACUUGUUCAGCUAGCAGCUACUGAUCACAGGAACAAGUCUGAAUGGUUACGAGCUCUAGAUGCUGCUAUUCAUCAUUCUAGAGAAACUCUUCCUUAUCAAGCAAUAAUGUCGGCUGCUAGAAAGAAUGAGCAUGCAGAAGAAGAAGCACGAGAAACUGCUGAACGUAUAAGACGUGACUCACAGGCAGACAUUAUUGAGAAUACACAAGCUGAACUUAUGGCUGAAAAAGUGGCUCGAGCACAGGCUGAAGCAGCAGCCCGACAGGAAGCUGCAGCUCGUCAAGAAGAAGAAAAAAGGGUUUUAGAACUUCAGACUAUGAGACUUCAGCUUGAAACUUUACUUGAGGAAGAGACCCAAGCAAAACGUGAUGAAGAAAUUGUUAGAAACCUUCAAGCAAGAGUAUUAAGUGAGGAAUGGGAGCGGAGAGAAGAACUGGAACGUCUACAAGCAGAACAAAAAAAAAUGUUGGAAGAGGAGACAAAGAAACGACAAGCCUUUGAGCUUCAGCAAGAAGAGAAAGAUAGUCAACUUAGAGAGGCAGAGAAACGUUUACGAAAGCUAGAAAGUGAGAGACUGAGACUUGAUCAUGAAUUACGUAGCGCCCGAGAGAAGAUUAUCAUGUCUGAACGUGGGAAAGAAUUGCUGGAAGCUAGGAUGAAGAUUGACUUACGAACAGGGUCCAGGAAUGUAACCCGUUCGUAACUCGGGGACUGCCUGUACUGUACUCACACUGUAACCAUGCACAUCACUCAAACAGGUCAAGGAGAGAACACCACCUGUCCGCACUUACUCACUUCGGCCAAUACGAAAGGAGCGUGGAACAGCCCCAGCCAGAUCUUCAUCAUUUAAUGCUCAUGCUGCACGCCUGUUCAAGUUUCGCUCCAAAAAUGAGGAC
This 1846-nucleotide unclassified non-coding RNA is filed under the name Homarus americanus (American lobster). RNAcentral's name for it is "differentially expressed in FDCP 6-like, transcript variant X1". The record is from RNAcentral. Lineage: Eukaryota; Metazoa; Arthropoda; Malacostraca; Decapoda; Nephropidae.